This 726-nucleotide long non-coding RNA is filed under the name Helianthus annuus (common sunflower). RNAcentral describes it as "hypothetical non coding rna". Lineage: Eukaryota; Viridiplantae; Streptophyta; Magnoliopsida; Asterales; Asteraceae. The record is from RNAcentral.
GUUAUUUACUCAAAACAAAACCAACCGAAGAUUCCGGGAUACGAUUACUCCUUAAACACAAUAUUAACUCCUUUCUUUUUGGCCUGGCAACCCAACAUUCGCUCCUGAUUUGGAGCUCCUAUUCAAGCUAUUCCACUGCAUCUUCGCAUCGUUUUUGUUCCGUGACAAUUACGUUACCGCCAACAGCCACCACUCGCCACCCCACCGCAACAAUCGAUUUGACCACCACCUGCCGCCGCUACUCGAACCAUUGGAAUCACGAACCAGCCGCCACACUCCGCUAACCACUGUAGCACCUUUGUUCGCCGGAGCUUUCUACGACGCGCAGUCAUCACGAAGCUGUGAGCAACUACUCCUGUUAUCUUCUUCUGAACCCUUCGUUUUUACUCGACUAUGGAGGUUCUUGGUCAUUGAGGACGACCCCUUGGUUUUUGCCUUGCUUUUCUCGCUAUCUAAGGUAAUAUGGGAUGAUCUGGGAUUUCAGUGAGGAGCGUUAGGAAGUUGCUCGCCAAGAUUCUUUAUUUCAGUAAUGUAAUAAAUGUAAUUAGGAUCUUUUAUUUAAUGCUAUGGAUUGAUUUUAGUUUUGAUAUCUGUAAGAGUGACACGUUAGCCUUAGCGGGGUUGGGGUGUUACACAAACAAUAUUGUUAGUGGCACAAAAGCCUAGUCACAAGGACGUUUUAUAUAUUAUUAGCCAGGAUUUCAGAGAAUCAAGGCAUGAAGGUUU